Transfer RNA from Loxodonta africana (African savanna elephant), 58 nucleotides. It matches the Rfam family "tRNA", at positions 8 to 63 of the family's 71-position model. Rfam says of the family: Transfer RNA (tRNA) molecules are approximately 80 nucleotides in length. The record is from Rfam. Lineage: Eukaryota; Metazoa; Chordata; Mammalia; Proboscidea; Elephantidae.
UGGCACAGUGGUUAAAGCACUCAGCUGCCAACUGAAAGGUUGGUGGUUCGAACCCACC